AAGUCGUAACAAGGUCUCCGUUGGUGAACCAGCGGAGGGAUCAUUACAGAGUUGCAAAACUCCCCAAACCAUCGUGAACCUUUACCGCUAAACAGUUGCUUCGGCGGGUGGCCAGGGGCGCGCGCAAGCCCGCCGGAGGAAUCCAAAAAACCAUCGCUUUCAGUACCGGCCUCUCUGAGUUACUGUACUUUUAAUUAAGUCAAAACUUUCAACAACGGAUCUCUUGGUUCUG
Molecule: unclassified non-coding RNA, 232 nt
Filed under: Podospora bulbillosa
Lineage: Eukaryota; Fungi; Ascomycota; Sordariomycetes; Sordariales; Podosporaceae
Description: partial internal transcribed spacer region
Rfam family: Eukaryotic small subunit ribosomal RNA (bases 1-46)
Source: RNAcentral